RNAcentral lists this ribosomal RNA (492 nucleotides) under uncultured bacterium. Its description in RNAcentral is "partial 16S ribosomal RNA". It matches the Rfam family "Bacterial small subunit ribosomal RNA", at positions 29 to 507 of the family's 1533-position model. The record is from RNAcentral.
AGUGAACGCUGGCGGUAGGCCUAACACAUGCAAGUCGAACGGCAGCACAGUAAGAGCUUGCUCUUACGGGUGGCGAGUGGCGGACGGGUGAGGAAUACAUCGGAAUCUACUUUUUCGUGGGGGAUAACGUAGGGAAACUUACGCUAAUACCGCAUACGACCUACGGGUGAAAGCAGGGGAUCUUCGGACCUUGCGCGAUUGAAUGAGCCGAUGUCGGAUUAGCUAGUUGGCGGGGUAAAGGCCCACCAAGGCGACGAUCCGUAGCUGGUCUGAGAGGAUGAUCAGCCACACUGGAGCUGAAACACGGUCCAGACUCCUACGGGAGGCAGCAGUGGGGAAUAUUGGACAAUGGGCACAAGCCUGAUCCAGCCAUACCGCGUGGGUGAAGAAGGCCUUCGGGUUGUAAAGCCCUUUUGUUGGGAAAGAAAAGCAGCAGGUUAAUACCCCGCUGUUCUGACGGUACCCAAAGAAUAAGCACCGGCUAACUUCGUG